RNAcentral lists this ribosomal RNA (279 nucleotides) under uncultured bacterium. RNAcentral describes it as "partial 16S ribosomal RNA". It matches the Rfam family "Bacterial small subunit ribosomal RNA", at positions 506 to 784 of the family's 1533-position model. The record is from RNAcentral.
UGCCAGCCGCCGCGGUAAUACGGAGGGGGUUAGCGUUGUUCGGAAUUACUGGGCGUAAAGCGUACGUAGGCGGUUUUAUAAGUCAGAUGUGAAAUCCCCGGGCUCAACUUGGGAACUGCGUUUGAAACUGUAAGACUAGAGUGUGUCAGAGGGGGGUAGAAUUCCAUGUGUAGCAGUGAAAUGCGUAGAUAUAUGGAGGAAUACCAAUGGCGAAGGCAGCCCCCUGGGAUAACACUGACGCUCAUGCACGAAAGCGUGGGGAGCAAAUGGGAUUAGAUA